CUGGCGGCAGGCUUAACACAUGCAAGUCGAACGGGUGCAGCAAUGCAUCAGUGGCAGACGGGUGAGUAACACGUGGGAACCUUCCUCGGGGUACGGAACAACUCAGGGAAACUUGAGCUAAUACCGUAUACGUCCGUGAGGAGAAAGAUUUAUCGCCCUGAGACGGGCCCGCGUCGGAUUAGCUAGUUGGUGGGGUAACGGCCUACCAAGGCGACGAUCCGUAGCUGAUCUUAGAGGAUGAUCAGCCACACUGGGACUGAGACACGGCCCAGACUCCUACGGGAGGCAGCAGUGGGGAAUCUUGGACAAUGGGCGCAAGCCUGAUCCAGCCAUGCCGCGUGAGUGAAGAGGGUCUUCGGAUUGUAAAGCUCUUUUGCCAGGGACGAUAAUGACGGUACCUGGAGAAUAAGCCCCGGCAAACUUCGUGCCAGCAGCCGCGGUAAUACGAAGGGGGCUAGCGUUGUUCGGAAUUACUGGGCGUAAAGCGCACGUAGGCGGGCGAUUAAGUC
Molecule: ribosomal RNA, 509 nt
Filed under: uncultured Alphaproteobacteria bacterium
Lineage: Bacteria; Pseudomonadati; Pseudomonadota; Alphaproteobacteria
Description: bacterial SSU rRNA
Rfam family: Bacterial small subunit ribosomal RNA
Source: RNAcentral